This is a small nuclear RNA of Jaculus jaculus (lesser Egyptian jerboa), 109 nucleotides long. The record is from Ensembl. NCBI's taxonomy places the organism in Eukaryota, Metazoa, Chordata, Mammalia, Rodentia, Dipodidae.
GUGCUCACUUUUGUGGCUCAGAUAAUAAAAUUGGAACAAUACAGGGGAGAUUAGCAAUUGCCCCUAUGCAAAGAUAACACACCAAAUUUGUGAAGGGUUUACUAUUUUU